This 301-nucleotide ribosomal RNA is filed under the name uncultured bacterium. Its description in RNAcentral is "partial 16S ribosomal RNA". It matches the Rfam family "Bacterial small subunit ribosomal RNA", at positions 509 to 807 of the family's 1533-position model. The record is from RNAcentral.
CAGUCGCCGCGGUAAUACGUAGGUGGCAAGCGUUGUCCGGAAUUAUUGGGCGUAAAGGGCUCGCAGGCGGUUGCUUAAGUCUGAUGUGAAAGCCCCCGGCUCAACCGGGGAGGGUCAUUGGAAACUGGGAAACUUGAGUGCAGAAGAGGAGAGUGGAAUUCCACGUGUAGCGGUGAAAUGCGUAGAGAUGUGGAGGAACACCAGUGGCGAAGGCGACUCUCUGGUCUGUAACUGACGCUGAGGAGCGAAAGCGUGGGGAGCGAACAGGAUUAGAUACCCGCGUAGUCCCUGUCUCUUAUAC